Molecule: microRNA precursor, 58 nt
Filed under: Strongyloides ratti
Lineage: Eukaryota; Metazoa; Nematoda; Chromadorea; Rhabditida; Strongyloididae
Description: microRNA str-mir-7880f precursor
Source: miRBase by way of RNAcentral
GGCCUGGUUAGUCGCAAAGAAUUUUUCAGUGAUUCUUUGCGAUUGUUUCCAGGCCAGC